Non-coding RNA from Acanthosepion pharaonis, 114 nucleotides. Lineage: Eukaryota; Metazoa; Mollusca; Cephalopoda; Sepiida; Sepiidae. The record is from the annotation of a GenBank genome assembly.
UUAUGGCCAUAUUACGUUGAAACACCGGUACUUGCACGAUCACCGAAGUUAAACAACGUCAAGCAUCGUCAGUACCCCGAUGGGGGACCGCUUGGAAAUACCAGGUGCUGUAAU